This 345-nucleotide ribosomal RNA is filed under the name Triticum aestivum (bread wheat). Its description in RNAcentral is "partial small subunit ribosomal RNA". The record is from RNAcentral. Lineage: Eukaryota; Viridiplantae; Streptophyta; Magnoliopsida; Poales; Poaceae.
AUGAUUGAUAAUUAUUUUGUUGUGUUUGCUCCCACUAUUCUUGUAGAUUAUGAAAAGAAUGAUUUAGGUGCUGGUUAUAUUGUUGAAUGCAUUCAUGAUUCUACUGAAAAUUAUUAUGAGGGAGGAACAUAUGCUUGUAGGAAUUGCAAUAAUAUCAAGUUUCCUCUCUACGUGCUUAAAGUUUUGAAGUUAUGCUUGUUUUACCUUCCUAUGCAAGUUGAUUCUUGUUCCCAUAAGUUAUUUGCUCACAAAAUCCCUAUGCAUAGGAAGUGGUUUAGGCUUAAAUGUUCUAGUCAUAUUCUUCAUGAUGCUCUCUUUAUGUUUCAAUUCUUAUCUUUUAUGUGA